RNAcentral lists this ribosomal RNA (253 nucleotides) under uncultured bacterium. RNAcentral describes it as "partial 16S ribosomal RNA". It matches the Rfam family "Bacterial small subunit ribosomal RNA", at positions 524 to 776 of the family's 1533-position model. The record is from RNAcentral.
GACAGAGGUGCCGAGCGUUAGGCGGAAUCACUGGGCUUAAAGCGUGUGUAGGCGGGUGCCUAAGUACCUUGUGAAAUCCCACGGCUCAACCGUGGAACUGCUUGGUAUACUGGGUAUCUUGAGCCACUUAGGGGCAACCGGAACAAACGGUGGAGCGGUGAAAUGCGUAGAUAUCGGAAAGAACACCAACGGCGAAAGCACUCUGCUGGGCCGACACUGACACUGAGAGACGAAAGCUAGGGGAGCGAAUGGG